GUCCUAGCCUUGGCAGUACAUACACUAAAAUACAGAGAUUAGCAUAGCCCCUAUGCAAGGGUGACAUACAAAUUCAUGAAGUAGUCCACAUUUUA
This is a small nuclear RNA of Otolemur garnettii (small-eared galago), 95 nucleotides long. The record is from Ensembl. NCBI's taxonomy places the organism in Eukaryota, Metazoa, Chordata, Mammalia, Primates, Galagidae.